ACUUUGGUCAUAUUCGGUCCAUUCAGUCCACUGUGGUUUUCAUAUAAGCUUGUGUGAUAGAAGCGUUACAAUAGGUUUACCAAAAUGCCACUGAUGGAGCUGUAACGACCAAACAAAUCUCGCGGUAAUGACUCUUUCUGUAACCGAUUCCGAGUCAACACUACCUCCUCUCUCUGUAAACGCAAUUGAAUGACAAUGACAACAGCGAAGAAGAAGAAGUUGAUGUCAUCGGCGGCAUGGAGGGGCGAAGAGGAAGCCACAGAAGAGUUCCAAGACGACAACGAUUGAUGAUUCCCUUGUCGAGGACUUGCUGUAUCCAAUGCCCUUUGUCUUCUGCAAAAGACAGCACUUUUUUCUGUCCACAAUAGAGAGACCACUUAAUGAGUUUCGGCUUCUAACCCACUAGCAUAAAUGAGGGAGAGACCAUUAUAGUGUUAGAAGACCAUUAUAGGUUGCAUCUUCUAGGGUGGAUUUCCUGCAAGUGUAUAUUGCCAAAAUGGCCCAUCAUCAGCAAAGAGUGAGACCAGGUUUACUGAUGAGACUGUCAGUCGUUAUCAUGUUCUGGAAGUCUUUCUUCAACGAGUAAUCGGUAUUGACACCAUCGUGAAACCUCUUCCACCUGCCAUGGCCUACAAUGUUUCCCGUAACUUGAACUUCUUCACACGCAUUUUCACUCAGUUCUUUGCAUUGCAGAUCCAGAAGGUAUUGCAAAUGCCCAGAAAUCGCUUGGGAUAGGACAGGAAGAGAAAGCUCGUCGUGUUCGCUAAAAAAGAAAGAUAAAAGAAAAAAGGCAGUCACUAAUGAACUUUCCUAUCAUGCUUGUGUGUAAUUGAAUUCUCUACCACUAUAUAUGUUGCGUCUAGCCCUGGUUGAAACCAAUGUUGCAGAGUAGAAAUUCAUUAUUAUAUGCCCGAAAA
Molecule: long non-coding RNA, 917 nt
Organism: Quercus robur (English oak)
Lineage: Eukaryota; Viridiplantae; Streptophyta; Magnoliopsida; Fagales; Fagaceae
Exons: 4
Source: RefSeq, a predicted model, not a curated record